Molecule: ribosomal RNA, 163 nt
Filed under: uncultured bacterium
Lineage: Bacteria
Description: partial 16S ribosomal RNA
Rfam family: Bacterial small subunit ribosomal RNA
Source: RNAcentral
UAGGGAAUUUUCGUUCAAUGGGCGCAAGCCUGAACGAGCAAUGCCGCGUGAACGAGGAAGGUCUUCGGAUCGUAAAGUUCUGUUGAAGGGGAAAAAGAGCGGAGAGAGGAAAUGGUNUCCGAUUGAUAUUACCCUUCGAGGAAGUCACGGCUAACUACGUGCC